UACGGGGGGAGCAAGCGUUGUUCGGAUUUACUGGGCGUAAAGGGCGCGUAGGCGGCCAGCACAAGUCAGUUGUGAAAUCUCCGAGCUUAACUCGGAAAGGUCAACUGAUACUGUGCGGCUAGAGUGCAGAAGGGGCAACUGGAAUUCUUGGUGUAGCGGUGAAAUGCGUAGAUAUCUGGAGGAACACCGGUGGCGAAGGCGGCAUCCUGGACCGACACUGACGCUGAGGCGCGAAAGCCAGGGGAGCAAACGGG
RNAcentral lists this ribosomal RNA (254 nucleotides) under uncultured bacterium. RNAcentral's name for it is "partial 16S ribosomal RNA". It matches the Rfam family "Bacterial small subunit ribosomal RNA", at positions 524 to 776 of the family's 1533-position model. The record is from RNAcentral.